UCUACGGGUGGCAGCAGUGGGGAAUAUUGGGCAAUGGGCGCAAGCCUGACCCAGCAACGCCGCGUGAAGGAAGAAGGCUUUCGGGUUGUAAACUUCUUUUGUCAGGGACGACGCAAGUGACGGUACCUGACGAAUAAGCCACGGCUAACUACGUGCCCGCAGCCGCGGUAAGAAGUUGGUGGCAAGCGUUCUACGGAUUUACUGGGUGUAAAGGGCGUGUAGGCGGGACUGCAAGUCAGAUGUGAAAACCACGGGCUCAACCUGUGGGCUGCAUUUGAAACUGUAGUUCUUGAGUACUGGGGAGGCAGACGGAAUUCCUAGUGUAGCGGUGAAAUGCGUAGAUAUUAGGAGGAACACCAGUGGCGAAGGCGGUCUGCUGGACAGCAACUGACGCUGAGGCGCGAAAGCGUGGGGAGCAAACAGGAUUAGAUACCCUUGUAGUC
This 443-nucleotide ribosomal RNA is filed under the name uncultured bacterium. RNAcentral's name for it is "partial 16S ribosomal RNA". It matches the Rfam family "Bacterial small subunit ribosomal RNA", at positions 338 to 795 of the family's 1533-position model. The record is from RNAcentral.